ACAGCAGCAGCCGCGGUAAUACGGAGGGUGCAAGCGUUAAUCGGAUUUACUGGGCGUAAAGCGUGCGUAGGCGGCUUCUUAAGUCGGAUGUGAAAUCCCUGAGCUUAACUUAGGAAUUGCAUUCGAUACUGGGAAGCUAGAGUAUGGGAGAGGAUGGUAGAAUUCCAGGUGUAGCGGUGAAAUGCGUAGAGAUCUGGAGGAAUACCGAUGGCGAAGGCAGCCAUCUGGUUUAAUACUGACGCUGAGGUACGAAAGCAUGGGGAGCAAACAGGAUUAGAUACCCCAGUAGUCCCUGUCUCUUAUAC
This 305-nucleotide ribosomal RNA is filed under the name uncultured bacterium. RNAcentral describes it as "partial 16S ribosomal RNA". It matches the Rfam family "Bacterial small subunit ribosomal RNA", at positions 505 to 807 of the family's 1533-position model. The record is from RNAcentral.